UGGGGAAUUUUGCACAAUGGGGGAAACCCUGAUGCAGCGACGCCGCGUGAUUUAGAAGGCCUUCGGGUUGUAAAAAUCUUUUCUAUGGGAAGAAAAUGACAGUACCAUAGGAAUAAGGACCGGCUAAUUACGUGCCAGCAGCCGCGGUAAUACGUAAGGUCCGAGCGUUGUCCGGAAUCAUUGGGCGUAAAGGGUACGUAGGCGGGUAAGCAAGUUAGAAGUGAAAUCCUAUAGCUAAACUAUAGUAAGCUUUUAAAACUGCUCAUCUGGAGGUAUGGAAGGGAAAGUGGAAUUCCUAGUGUAGCGGUGAUAUGCGCAGAUAUUAGGAGGAAUACCGGUGGCGAAGGCGACUUUCUGGCCAUAACCUGACGCUGAGGUACGAAAGCGUGGGUAGCAAACAGG
RNAcentral lists this ribosomal RNA (402 nucleotides) under bacterium. RNAcentral's name for it is "partial 16S ribosomal RNA". It matches the Rfam family "Bacterial small subunit ribosomal RNA", at positions 355 to 776 of the family's 1533-position model. The record is from RNAcentral.